GAUAAGCAUGCCCUAUUCACACAUAGGGACACGAUAUCGAAUCCGAUACUUUACUCAUAUCGCUACCUUUUGAUUCGAUACUAGUAUUCAGAAAUUCGAUACUUCCUUUCGAUACUUAGUACUAAUAUCAGUACUUAGCAUCAAGUAUCGAUUCCAUAAAAAGAAAAAAUAAACGAGCAACUAACUCAUAAAUACCAAUUUAACGCCUCUGCUUAAUAGGUUUUCUGAACUGAACGUAAUUUAAU
Long non-coding RNA from Melitaea cinxia (Glanville fritillary), 245 nucleotides. RefSeq lists it as uncharacterized. The record is from RefSeq and is a predicted model, not a curated record. Lineage: Eukaryota; Metazoa; Arthropoda; Insecta; Lepidoptera; Nymphalidae. The transcript is spliced from 4 exons.